This 440-nucleotide ribosomal RNA is filed under the name uncultured bacterium. Its description in RNAcentral is "partial 16S ribosomal RNA". It matches the Rfam family "Bacterial small subunit ribosomal RNA", at positions 339 to 795 of the family's 1533-position model. The record is from RNAcentral.
CUACGGGUUGCUGCAGUAGGGAAUUUUCCACAAUGGGCGAAAGCCUGAUGGAGCAACGCCGCGUGCAGGAUGAAUGCCUUAGGGUUGUAAACUGCUUUUAUAUGUGACGAUUAUGACGGUAGCAUAUGAAUAAGGAUCGGCUAACUCCGUGCCAGCAGCCGCGGUCAUACGGAGGAUCCAAGCGUUAUCCGGAAUUACUGGGCGUAAAGAGUUGCGUAGGUGGCAUGGUAAGUAGAUAGUGAAAGCGUGUGGCUCAACCAUACUUACAUUAUCUAAACUGCUAAGCUAGAAGACGAGAGAGGUAGAUGGAAUUCCCAGUGUAGGAGUGAAAUCCGUAGAUAUUGGGAGGAACACCGAUGGCGUAGGCAGUCUACUGGCUCGUUCUUGACACUAAGGCACGAAAGCGUGGGGAGCAAACGGGAUUAGAUACCCCGGUAGUC